Long non-coding RNA from Cyprinus carpio carpio, 1010 nucleotides. The record is from Ensembl. Lineage: Eukaryota; Metazoa; Chordata; Actinopteri; Cypriniformes; Cyprinidae.
GGGUGGUGGAGCAGAUUUGGAGGAAAGUUCGAAAGCAAGCACAGGUGGACUUGUUUGUGUCUCGAGAGACCUUACUUUGUCCCCUCUGGUUCUCCCUCUCACAUCCAACUCCUCUCGGGCUGGAUGCUAUGGUACAGACUUAGCCGAGACUGCGUCUGUACGCAUUUCUUUUGAUUGCUUUGCUCCCAGGAGUUCUGGAGAGAGUUCGCCGGGAUGGGGCGUGUCUCCUAAGUUAGUAGCUCCAUACUGGCCUGGCCAGCCAUGGUUUGCCGACCUGAUAGCCUUUCUCAAGACUCUCCAUGGGAGAUUCCCAUCAAAGUGGGAUCUCCUCUCUCAGGCGGGGGACACCAUCUUUCACCCCCAUCCAGAGUUGUGUAAACUGUGGGUGUGGCCCCUGAGGGUCUACAUAGCUUCUGGUCUCUCAACUAAGGUUGUUGAGACCAUACUCCACUCCAGAGCUCCCUCCAUGAGGAAACUGUACUCCUUGAAGUGGGUUGUGUUCAAUCAUCAGCUACUCCCAGUUAACUGUUUGAUUGGUUCAGUUUUGAAAUUCCUGCAGGAAAGAUUCUUCACAGGUUUGAUCCACUCCACCUUUAGAGUGUUCGUGGUGGCCAUAGCUGCUUACCACAUCCCUUUGGGUGGUCAUUCACUGGGGUUGAAACCUGUUGGUACAUGUUUCUUUCAUUGUGCUUGAGGCCAAGAGAAGUAUGGUACUGCUCCAGACUUUCAGGUGCAUCUGUCUUAGUGGUGCUCGCAGUGAUUUCACACUAGACAGGCAGUAUGGUGGCAUGGGCAUACUCGUUCCCAAAUCGUUUUCGAUGCAGCUUAAAUUCCUGAAGGGGAACGUCUCUAGGUUACAUAUCUAACCCUGGUUCCCAGAGGUAAUUAGAAGCUGCAUCGCGUUGCCAUACUUCCUGUAUUCCUGUGAGCGACUUGCCUCAACUUAUCAGAAGCUAAUGUUGCCUGUUUCAGAUGCACUUUUAAGCUCUCUGGUCUCUACAUCACCCUGC